CACCACCACUUCCUCCAUCGCCUCCUCCGCCCGUUUAUUCACCUCCUCCGCCUCCUCCGUCACCUCCACCUCCCGUUUAUUCACCUCCUCCGCCUCCUCCGUCACCUCCACCUCCCGUUUAUUCACCUCCUCCGCCUCCUCCGUCACCUCCACCUCCCGUUUAUUCACCUCCUCCGCCUCCUCCGUCACCUCCACCUCCCGUUUAUUCACCUCCACCUCCUCCUCCACCCCCACCACCUGUUUAUUCGCCACCACCUCCUCCACCCCCACCACCUGUUUAUUCGCCACCACCUCCUCCACCACCUGUUUACUCGCCACCACCACCACCAUCACCUCCUCCUCCAUCACCAUUACCUUAUUGUGUACGCUCACCACCACCUCCACCACCAAAUUCACCACCUCCUCCGCCACCACCGCUUGCUCACUCACCUCCACCCCCUUCACCUUACUACUACAAUUCACCACCACCUCCGCCUCCUCCACCACCAAAUUCACCACCUCCACCACCUGUAUACAUAUACUCAUCACCUCCACCACCAAAUUCACCUCCUCCACCAGUAUACUCCUCCCCUCCACCGCCUCAUUUGC
RNAcentral lists this long non-coding RNA (588 nucleotides) under Capsicum annuum. Its description in RNAcentral is "long non-coding RNA (CANN_LNC013484)". Lineage: Eukaryota; Viridiplantae; Streptophyta; Magnoliopsida; Solanales; Solanaceae. The record is from RNAcentral.